GUGGUAUGAGUAUGAUGGCUAGAUGGCUCAUUUAUUUGAUUGUGUUCUCUCUAUUUUUUUAUUGAGACAAGGCUAGCAUUUUUCUCUCUUUCUUUUUUCAAGGACUUGAUGAUGUCCUUCCUAACACGGUGAUUAUUUUUUUAUAGCCUUUGCUUUGUGUCUCAUAUAACAUUUAGCUAUUAGAGAGGGAUUCUACACUUAGAGCAUGGAGCAUCUAUAUUUGGU
Molecule: long non-coding RNA, 225 nt
Filed under: Sorghum bicolor (sorghum)
Lineage: Eukaryota; Viridiplantae; Streptophyta; Magnoliopsida; Poales; Poaceae
Description: long non-coding RNA (SBIC_LNC003095)
Source: RNAcentral